GACGAACGCUGGCGGCGUGCUUAACACAUGCAAGUCGAACGAGAUCCAAUGUGUAGCAAUACACAGGAAGAUCUAGUGGCGAACGGGUGAGGAACACGUGAGAAACGUACCCCAGACUUUGGGAUAACAGUCCGAAAGUACUGCUAAUACCAAAUAACGUCGGAAGUCCGCAUGGACAUCUGACGAAAGGGAUUCCGGUUUGGGAGCGUCUCGCGGACCUAUCAGCUAGUUGGAGGGGUAACGGCCCACCAAGGCAACGACGGGUAGCUGGUCUGAGAGGAUGGUCAGCCACACUGGGACUGAGACACGGCCCAGACUCCUACGGGAGGCAGCAGUGGGGAAUCUUGCGCAAUGGGCGAAAGCCUGACGCAGCAACGCCGCGUGCGGGAAGAAGGCUUUCGGGCUGUAAACCGCGUUCAGUAGGAACGAAACUGACGGUACCUACAGAAGAAGGAGCGGCCAACUAUGUG
RNAcentral lists this ribosomal RNA (470 nucleotides) under uncultured bacterium. Its description in RNAcentral is "partial 16S ribosomal RNA". It matches the Rfam family "Bacterial small subunit ribosomal RNA", at positions 28 to 507 of the family's 1533-position model. The record is from RNAcentral.